UCCUGGAACCACUAGAGGUAGAGGCGCUAGAAGACAUUUUAAGCAAGAACCCUGGAAAUCCCGAAGAGAUCAGGCGAAAUCAGAGUCGAAAGGUUCAUGGGAGACCUAACAAGAAGAAUGCAGCAGAAGGAAAAUGGAGGAGAAGAGGCACUUAGAUGGCAAGAGAAGGGACGAAGGUUUUGAGACUAACCUAAAUCGCUCCGAAGGAUGCAGGGGCGCAGGGAUAGAGGUGACUCGAAGAACACCUAGGGCCAAAGCGGACACCA
Molecule: long non-coding RNA, 266 nt
Filed under: Elaeis guineensis (African oil palm)
Lineage: Eukaryota; Viridiplantae; Streptophyta; Magnoliopsida; Arecales; Arecaceae
Description: long non-coding RNA (EGUI_LNC067236)
Source: RNAcentral